CAGUUCGUGAAAUUUCUUCCCUGCUAGAUAUUCCACGGUCAACUGUAAGUAAUAUUAUUGCAAAGUGGAAACGAUUAGGAACAACGGAAACUCAGCCACGAAGUGGCAGACCACGUAAAGUAACAGCUCGGGGUCGCCCAGUGCUGAGCCGCAUAGUGAGUAAAAGUCACCAACGCUCUGUUGACUCAAUAACUGCAGAGUUCCAAACCUCCUCUGGCAUUAACCUCAGCACAAGAACUGUGCGCCGGGAGCUUCAUGGAAUGGGCUUCCAUGACCGAGAAGCUGUAUGCAAACCUCACAUCACCAAGCGCAACGCCAAGAGUCCAGGGCUGCCACGAGUCGUCGACGUAGGCGAAGGCGUCAAUGCUGGAAGUCCUGAAGAGGAGUAUGUGAAACUACUGGAUGACAUGGGCCUUGCAAGGACGGAAAAAAGUACAGAGGAGGUCAUAGAGAACAAGGACAAGGAUUUAACAGAAUUGUUGGAUUUCGCUGAAUGAUUCUAGGUCUUGAGGAUCUAUACAUGCUGUUUCACGGGAAACAGUGUAAAGUCAGAUCAUUCAUAAUUGAAGGAAAUGUAUGUCUGAGAAGAGCACCUGUUUCCCCUCAUUCUGAAUGUUAAUUCAGAGGGAUUUGUGGAUUUUUUUUGUAUUAAACUACAACUAGCUGGCUGGAUUUGUCACCCCUUUACCAAUAUAACUGCAGGUCAGGGUCAUGUGGACUAUUUGGUUCAAAAAUAUGCUGAAACAUAAAACAUUUCUUGUGUUUUUUUUGAGCAGAGCUAUAAUGUUCGUAAUGUAUACUAAAUUCCAAGGUUCAGAUAGAGACCAGAAGGUGUGGGUGUGGUUUGAUACAUGGAUAAAUGACCUGGAUGUCUUUUGCUUGGUUUUUGAGAGUGACCAUGCAUUAUAAUAACACAUCAUUUCUGCCAGCCCAUACCUGCAUGUCUUAAAAAAUGGCAGCAAUAAGUGGAAAUAAGAUGUAUGAUAUGUAUUUCAGCUAUUUUUUUUUAAACAGUUAUAUACUAUUGUAACUUUUCUAUAAAAACUAAAUUGUUCAGGUUAUCAUUCACUGACUUCCUUGAUUUCAUUCAGGAUCAAGUGUCUUUAUAUUAAAUUUACACUGAAUAAAAUCCUGUGUUCCUGGAGUUAUGGGAUGUCAAAGUGCCCCACAGCCAGUUUCAGUAAAGUGAAGUUAUGGGUAUACAGGCAGUGUUUAAGCCGCAGCAACCUUUGCAAUGCUGUAAAUCUGAUAAAAACAAUGGAGUUUUCUGUAUUUUUUUCUGAGUGUGCGGAUACCUAGUAACUCCUAUAUAUAAUGCAAAAUAUUUUAUAUACACAAUUUAUAUACACCGUAUAAAAUCAAUCUUUUAACUAUUUUACCACUAAUACUUCAUUUGUUCCAAUAAAGAAAUAUUCCAUGCUUCUCAUAAUAUUUAGUUCUAAACGUGGUGUAUUUUUCUUUUUCUCCGCAUGCCUUGAAAGACGUAAAAUGAAGAGUGCAUCUGGACUUUUAAAUUUCGGAAAGAAACACCGGAAAUGACACACAGGAAGUCUAAUUGUUGUUAGAAUAUCGAAACAUCACAGAUCCAGGACCGCCAUUAGAGGGUUGCGGAUAGGGUGUGUGAAUGUUUGCUGAAGAAGUAAGACAUUUCCUCCCACACUGGCAGUGAGCCCCAACUUCCCAUGUGUUUCGAAUGGAAUGAUGUGGAUUUAUUCGUUUUUGUGGGACUGUUGCACGCUGGGCGAAGCUAAUUUUUCUCUCCAUUCAACUCGUGGGAAGCAGCCUCCACAGUGGUUGUCCUGAAUUGGAGCAAUAAGCAUACAGAUCUCUCAAUGACAAUGGAAUCCUAGUCGCCUUUUCUCUCUCUUGAGUGGAUAUUUUGGAACUGUGUGGUUUCCCUCCAACAUUUUUCAUUUUGAUGUUACUUCUGUUGUUGAUUAGAACUCUUAGUUUUUCUUGCUGUCAUUAAGUUUUUCUGCAAUUUUAGCAAUUUUGUCUGUGGUUGUAAUGUGACUUUUUAAUGUAUUGAUGUGUAUGUAUAACCAUUAUUUCAAUUAAAAUUAUUUUAUACAU
Molecule: long non-coding RNA, 2073 nt
Organism: Paramormyrops kingsleyae
Lineage: Eukaryota; Metazoa; Chordata; Actinopteri; Osteoglossiformes; Mormyridae
Source: RefSeq, a predicted model, not a curated record